This 1292-nucleotide long non-coding RNA is filed under the name Chloebia gouldiae (Gouldian finch). Its description in RNAcentral is "Erythrura gouldiae (Gouldian finch) lncRNA (ENSEGOG00005004933.1)". The record is from RNAcentral. Lineage: Eukaryota; Metazoa; Chordata; Aves; Passeriformes; Passeridae.
CAUGCUGGCGCUGCUGGCCCGGGAGCCGGGCAUGGAGUGGCUGGAGCCGAGCCUCGCUGGGCAGAGGGUCACCUCCCCGCCUCGCAGCCCAGAAGCACCGCGGAGCGGAAGCGACAUCAGUUAUCAUCGGAAGCAUUGCUUGGGACCUUGGCCUCUGAAGACUUUGUCGUUGCUGGAGCACUCAGGGGACAGUAGGCUUUGGCAAGCCUACCUCGAAGGACUGAAGAAAUUCUUUGUCUUCAGGGAAAGCAUGGGAAUGCCUGCAACCUGGCCAAUUCCAGUGGACCAGAUUAGAGGGUUUUUGGCUGUGGAAUCUGAUUAUUCCUCCUCGAAGACUCUCACAUACAUGGCAGCACUUUCUUAUUUAUCAAAAUUGACUGGUAAUUCUGAUCCUCUGGAAGAUCCUAUAACCUGUUGCAUGGUGAUGGGGUUGAAACGUCGAGUGGGUAUCCUGAGGGAUAAAUAUUUGCCUGUAACAAUUGAGAUGUUGCGAUCUCUCUUAGGAGUUCUGGAGUCUGCAUGCAUAACUCGCUAUGAAUGCUUACUGUUUCGUGCCCUAUUUACUGUAGCUUUUUUUGGGGCACUUCGAAUAGGAGAGAUGGUGGCAAAACACCGUAAUGUACUGCAGCCUGAGCUGCUGUACCUGAGUGAUCUCCAGCUGAUGGAGAGGAAAGUGCUGCUUUUUCUACCUUAUUCUCCUGUAGAUCAGGAGAGACAUGUCAUCAGCCUAGCGCUGUCUGGAGAGCCAUGGGUGUGCCCUGUUCUGGCCCUCCGGAGCUAUUUGACUGUUCGUCCACGGCCGGAAGGGCCACUCUUUGUGCACUCGGACUUCAGGACCGUAACGAAGAGGGAGUUCCUGGCGGUUCUCAGACGUGCCCUGUGCCUGCUGGGGCUGUCUCCGGAGCAGUACGGCGUGCAUUCCUUCUGGCUGGGGACUGCUGUCACCGCUGUGCGCUGCGGGUAUCCUGGGGAAGAUGUCACUCGCCUGGCAAGAUGGCCCUGUAUGAUCCCAGAAAGAUUCUUACCAAGCGGACCAAUACGAGAAUAGAAGCUAAAGAAUCAUCUUCUUUAUGUAGAGUCAAAUUUAGCUGUAUAGUUUCUAGCCUUUCACAGGAAUUUAGUAUUAACACCUGAAAUUAAUUUUCUACCUCACAGUGGGAUCAUCCUAAAUUCACUCACAACUUGUUUGUUCUGUCUGUAUUUGAAGGUAGGGGGAAUGUCAAACCUUUGUACAUAGACUUCAUUUUUAUCUUGUAUAGUAUCUUUAUUUUAUUGAUAUAAUAAAUAUUGCC